Molecule: ribosomal RNA, 78 nt
Filed under: Heyndrickxia coagulans
Lineage: Bacteria; Bacillati; Bacillota; Bacilli; Caryophanales; Bacillaceae
Description: partial 16S ribosomal RNA
Rfam family: Bacterial small subunit ribosomal RNA
Source: RNAcentral
UUUACUGAGAGUUUGAUCCUGGCUCAGGACGAACGCUGGCGGCGUGCCUAAUACAUGCAAGUCGUGCGGGCCUUGUUG